Molecule: ribosomal RNA, 421 nt
Filed under: uncultured fungus
Lineage: Eukaryota; Fungi
Description: eukaryotic LSU rRNA
Rfam family: Eukaryotic large subunit ribosomal RNA
Source: RNAcentral
GACCUCGGAUCAGGUAGGAAUACCCGCUGAACUUAAGCAUAUCAAUAAGCGGAGGAAAAGAAACCAACAGGGAUUGCCUCAGUAACGGCGAGUGAAGCGGCAAAAGCUCAAAUUUGAAAUCUGACCCUUCGGGUCCGAGUUGUAAUUUGCAGAGGAUGUUUCGGGUAAGAUUUAGGUCUAAGUUCCUUGGAACAGGACGUCAUAGAGGGUGAGAAUCCCGUACGUGACCGUUGAUCGCACCCAUGUGAAACUCCUUCGACGAGUCGAGUUGUUUGGGAAUGCAGCUCAAAAUGGGUGGUAAAUUUCAUCUAAAGCUAAAUAUUGGCCAGAGACCGAUAGCGCACAAGUAGAGUGAUCGAAAGAUGAAAAGCACUUUGAAAAGAGAGUUAAACAGUAUGUGAAAUUGUUGAAAGGGUAGCGC